CUGGAUACAAGUCUAACCAUAGUACAAUUAAGGUAUCUACUUUUUCUUUUCCUACGGAUGAAAAUUUAAAGAAAAAGUGGAUAAAUAAAAUACCCCGGAAAGAUUUGAUUGCUACUAAAAAUUCAGUAGUUUGUGCCAGUCAUUUUACUGAUGAACAAAUUAUUAGAACAUGGACUUCAGGGGUUGGUGAUAAACAAGUGUGUAUAAAUUUAAAGUAUCCAAAACUAAAAGAAGAUGCUAUCCCAUGCAUAUUUCCUGGCCCAAAAUAUUUAUCGAAUCCACAAACUAAAAGAAAGUCUCCUAGAAAGCGAGAUAGUUCAUUAAUCUCUUCUAAAAACAUUAAAGUAGUAGAGGCUGAAUCUAAAAUUUCUGAACAUCCUUGUAAUAAUGAUA
Molecule: long non-coding RNA, 393 nt
Organism: Acyrthosiphon pisum (pea aphid)
Lineage: Eukaryota; Metazoa; Arthropoda; Insecta; Hemiptera; Aphididae
Exons: 3
Source: RefSeq, a predicted model, not a curated record